Molecule: transfer RNA, 74 nt
Filed under: Streptomyces spectabilis
Lineage: Bacteria; Bacillati; Actinomycetota; Actinomycetes; Kitasatosporales; Streptomycetaceae
Description: tRNA-Trp
Rfam family: tRNA
About the family: Transfer RNA (tRNA) molecules are approximately 80 nucleotides in length. Their secondary structure includes four short double-helical elements and three loops (D, anti-codon, and T loops). Further hydrogen bonds mediate the characteristic L-shaped molecular structure. tRNAs have two regions of fundamental functional importance: the anti-codon, which is responsible for specific mRNA codon recognition, and the 3' end, to which the tRNAs corresponding amino acid is attached (by aminoacyl-tRNA synthetases). tRNAs cope with the degeneracy of the genetic code in two manners: having more than one tRNA (with a specific anti-codon) for a particular amino acid; and 'wobble' base-pairing, i.e. permitting non-standard base-pairing at the 3rd anti-codon position.
Source: RNAcentral
UGGGACGUUGGGUAAAUGGAAGCCCGCGCCGACUCCAAAUCGGCGAAGCGUAGGUUCGAUUCCUACCGGCUCAG